Molecule: non-coding RNA, 23 nt
Filed under: Cricetulus griseus (Chinese hamster)
Lineage: Eukaryota; Metazoa; Chordata; Mammalia; Rodentia; Cricetidae
Source: RNAcentral
CUAUACAGUCGGAUAGGGAAAAA